Molecule: transfer RNA, 73 nt
Filed under: Lactobacillus crispatus
Lineage: Bacteria; Bacillati; Bacillota; Bacilli; Lactobacillales; Lactobacillaceae
Description: tRNA-Asn
Rfam family: tRNA
About the family: Transfer RNA (tRNA) molecules are approximately 80 nucleotides in length. Their secondary structure includes four short double-helical elements and three loops (D, anti-codon, and T loops).
Source: RNAcentral
UACGGCUUAGCUCAGUUGGUAGAGCGCUUGACUGUUAUUCAAGAUGUCGUCCGUUCGUGUCUGACGGCCGGCG